Molecule: long non-coding RNA, 1419 nt
Organism: Lolium rigidum
Lineage: Eukaryota; Viridiplantae; Streptophyta; Magnoliopsida; Poales; Poaceae
Exons: 3
Source: RefSeq, a predicted model, not a curated record
GAAUUCAGAUCGAUGGAAAAUCUCAUGAACGAACCUCGAGCUAGCCGGUGGCCAGGGCCGCCAAGCACAACCACGGCCCCGGCAUCUUCCGCAGAUCGGGGUGCGCAGCAGUGCUUGCACGGCUCUUCACGUUGUUCCUGAUUCCUCUUUCAAACUUCUGCAGAUUUCUCUCUGUCCGGGCGGCAGCUGCAGCAAUUACUCGAGGAACAUGAACCAUAGUCGACCAAGGGUCAUGCCGGGCUGCCUUCCAUCCUGUAUGUGCACGAGAUUCCAAGCACCAAAUGGAGAUAUGGGGAAAAUCUGGACAUCCUAAUGUCGAGCUGAGUGUUUUGCUCAAAACAUUCUUUUCUGUUGGGUAUUUCAACUCUCUAGAGAAAUGAAAUAAUGCAUCUCACCAAGAGAGCUAGAGAAGUGAGGCCAAAAGAUGCAAAUUUCGGCAUUGCAAAGAUUCCAAAACUGAGAUUCACACGCAAGAAGGAUUGAUCCAUGAACUAUGAAACCAGCAGCUUUAACCCUGACAACCUUAUCAAAGUGGAGACGAUGGAGCUUGGUGCUUUGCCCCAUACUAUUAGAAGUUUAGAUACUAAGCAAAUCGAAGUAUGGAAAUGGAUACUGAUCAUCCCUCAGUUAGCUAUCUUACGAAAAACUCUCGUGAUAUUGCUAUGGUGCUCAUAAAGGUAACUUCUGCUGAUUCAGAAUCAAGUUACUAAGGCAUUUACUAACCUUUGUCAAGAAAAAAAACACUAAUACCUACUGUAUCUGGAGCUAAUUGACAGAGGGGAUGUUAGUCUGAGGAAAUAGCAUCCGAAGUUGCUAUUUCUUCAGCGUCCUUGGAAGCUGCUCUGGUGGUACUUUGGGCAUACCUUAUGUCUAGCAUUACAAGUUUAUUUCCGAGUUAGUUUUGCUAAUUCUCUGGCUUUCAGGGUGAAACUACAACCUUUUUCCCAUGGUUUGAAGUUGAAAAUCAUCAAGUGGCUUCAAAAGUCUGCACAUAUACCAGCUGUUGAAGCAAUCCCUCUUAAAGGGAGCUCAGAGGUGGUACAAGAGGACAAACUAGAUGGGUAGGGUACAAAUAGUGUGUGAAGAGUGCAGUGGUCCCACUGGACAAAGAAGCAGCAGUUGAGAUGUUGGGCUACGGUACUAAAAACCUGACCACCAAGGCACCAAGAUCUAACGCCAAAGUUCUGAAAGAAGAGAAGGCAAUAUGUGCAACUGGAACUACUUUGGAAAAUGGAAAAUAAUGGCUAAAGAAUCUACUAUAAAUCUGUCCCCAGUUGGAAGCAAGGAUACUUCAAAGGUAGUGCAUGAAGAAUUGGUAUAGAAAACACACUUCUCAGUAUUCCCUGAAGUUUUGCUUGUUUCUUGCCUCUGAACUGGUUUGAAGCAUUAAAUAUCAGUGUGUACAUAGUUUCUGAUUUU